CGGACGGGUGAGUAAUGUCUGGGAAACUGCCCGAUGGAGGGGGAUAACUACUGGGAACGGUAGCUAAUACCGCAUAACGUCGCAAGACCAAAGAGGGGGACCUUCGGGCCUCUUGCCAUCGGAUGUGCCCAGAUGGGAUUAGCUAGUAGGUGGGGUAACGGCUCACCUAGGCGACGAUCCCUAGCUGGUCUGAGAGGAUGACCAGCCACACUGGAACUGAGACACGGUCCAG
Molecule: ribosomal RNA, 232 nt
Filed under: uncultured bacterium
Lineage: Bacteria
Description: partial 16S ribosomal RNA
Rfam family: Bacterial small subunit ribosomal RNA
Source: RNAcentral